This 253-nucleotide ribosomal RNA is filed under the name uncultured Eubacteriales bacterium. RNAcentral describes it as "uncultured Clostridiales bacterium partial 16S ribosomal RNA". It matches the Rfam family "Bacterial small subunit ribosomal RNA", at positions 524 to 776 of the family's 1533-position model. The record is from RNAcentral. Lineage: Bacteria; Bacillati; Bacillota; Clostridia; Eubacteriales.
UACGUAGGGGGCAAGCGUUGUCCGGAAUGACUGGGCGUAAAGGGAGUGUAGGCGGCCAAUUAAGCUAGAUGUGAAAUCCCACGGCUUAACCGUGGAACUGCAUCUAAAACUGGAUGGCUGGAGUGCAGGAGGGGUAAGCGGAAUUCCUAGUGUAGCGGUGAAAUGCGUAGAUAUUAGGAGGAACACCGGUGGCGAAGGCGGCUUACUGGACUGUAACUGACGUUGAGGCUCGAAGGCGUGGGGAGCAAACAGG